This 605-nucleotide ribosomal RNA is filed under the name uncultured bacterium. RNAcentral describes it as "bacterial SSU rRNA". It matches the Rfam family "Bacterial small subunit ribosomal RNA", at positions 59 to 696 of the family's 1533-position model. The record is from RNAcentral.
CAGUCGAACGAUGAAGCUCUAGCUUGCUAGAGUGGAUUAGUGGCGCACGGGUGAGUAAUGCAUAGAUAACAUGCCCUUUAGUCUAGGAUAGCCAUUGGAAACGAUGAUUAAUACUGGAUACUCCUUACGAGGGAAAGUUUUUCGCUAAAGGAUUGGUCUAUGUCCUAUCAGCUUGUUGGUGAGGUAAUGGCUCACCAAGGCUAUGACGGGUAUCCGGCCUGAGAGGGUGAACGGACACACUGGAACUGAGACACGGUCCAGACUCCUACGGGAGGCAGCAGUAGGGAAUAUUGCUCAAUGGGGGAAACCCUGAAGCAGCAACGCCGCGUGGAGGAUGAAGGUUUUCGGAUUGUAAACUCCUUUUGUUAGAGAAGAUAAUGACGGUAUCUAACGAAUAAGCACCGGCUAACUCCGUGCCAGCAGCCGCGGUAAUACGGAGGGUGCAAGCGUUACUCGGAAUCACUGGGCGUAAAGAGCGCGUAGGCGGGAUAGCAAGUCAGAUGUGAAAUCCUAUGGCUUAACCAUAGAACUGCAUUUGAAACUGUUAUUCUAGAGUAUGGGAGAGGUAGGUGGAAUUCUUGGUGUAGGGGUAAAAUCCGUANAGA